RNAcentral lists this ribosomal RNA (796 nucleotides) under uncultured bacterium. RNAcentral's name for it is "bacterial SSU rRNA". It matches the Rfam family "Bacterial small subunit ribosomal RNA", at positions 59 to 847 of the family's 1533-position model. The record is from RNAcentral.
CAGUCGAGGGGCAGCGGGGGAGCAGCAAUGCUCCCGCCGGCGACCGGCGCACGGGUGAGUAACACGUAUGGAACCUGCCCGCAGCAGGGGGAUAAGCGGAAGAAAUUCCGUCUAGUACCGCGUAACACCGCGGAGGGGCAUCCCUCGGCGGUUAAAGAUUCAUCGGCUGCGGAUGGCCAUGCGGCGCAUUAGCUAGUCGGCGGGGUAACGGCCCACCGAGGCGACGAUGCGUAGGGGUUCUGAGAGGAAGGUCCCCCACACUGGUACUGAGACACGGACCAGACUCCUACGGGAGGCAGCAGUGAGGAAUAUUGGUCAAUGGGCGGGAGCCUGAACCAGCCAAGUCGCGUGAGGGAAGACGGUCCUAUGGAUUGUAAACCUCUUUAGGCGGGGAGCAAUGCCGGGCACGCGUGCCCGGAGGGAGAGUACCCGCAGAAUAAGCAUCGGCUAACUCCGUGCCAGCAGCCGCGGUAAUACGGAGGAUGCGAGCGUUAUCCGGAUUUAUUGGGUUUAAAGGGUGCGUAGGCGGAUUUUUAAGUCAGCGGUAAAAUGUCCGGGCUCAACCCGGGCCGGCCGUUGAAACUGGGGAUCUUGAGUGGGCGAGAAGUAUGCGGAAUGCGUGGUGUAGCGGUGAAAUGCAUAGAUAUCACGCAGAACUCCGAUUGCGAAGGCAGCAUACCGGCGCCCGACUGACGCUGAGGCACGAAAGCGUGGGGAUCGAACAGGAUUAGAUACCCUGGUAGUCCACGCAGUAAACGAUGAAUGCUAGUUGUCCGGUUCUUUGGGACUGGGUGAC